UACGUAGGUGGCAAGCGUUGUCCGGAUUUACUGGGCGUAAAGAGCACGCAGGCGGUCGUUCAAGUCGAAUGUGAAAGCCCCCGGCUUAACUGGGGAGGGUCAUUCGAUACUGAUCGACUUGAAGGCGGGAGAGGGAAGCGGAAUUCCCGGUGUAGUGGUGAAAUGCGUAGAUAUCGGGAGGAACACCAGUGGCGAAGGCGGCUUCCUGGCCCGUUCUUGACGCUCAUGUGCGAAAGCUAGGGGAGCAAACGGG
RNAcentral lists this ribosomal RNA (253 nucleotides) under uncultured Acidobacteriota bacterium. RNAcentral's name for it is "uncultured Acidobacteria bacterium partial 16S ribosomal RNA". It matches the Rfam family "Bacterial small subunit ribosomal RNA", at positions 524 to 776 of the family's 1533-position model. Lineage: Bacteria; Pseudomonadati; Acidobacteriota. The record is from RNAcentral.